Galeopterus variegatus (Sunda flying lemur) is the source of this 891-nucleotide long non-coding RNA. RefSeq lists it as uncharacterized. NCBI's taxonomy places the organism in Eukaryota, Metazoa, Chordata, Mammalia, Dermoptera, Cynocephalidae. The record is from RefSeq and is a predicted model, not a curated record. The transcript has 2 exons.
ACUAGAAACCGACUGAAAUAACUUGGUAGGAGUCUGGAGAUCAGUCAGAUUGUACAGGUAGAAGGCACCUCACCCAGCCUGUAAAGCACGUGUGGUGCUUCCCUCCACUCUGCAAGUGGGGAAAAGAGGACGUGAGGAAGGCAUCCUACCCAGGAGCGCACGGCCAGCCAAGGAGCAGAGCUGGGACUACAGCCAGACCUCGGACCCAGGGUGUGUAGGAGAUGGGCCACGACACGCCGACAAGGCCUCCUUGAGCCAGGGGAACGUGGUAGCUUCCAGUGUGCUCAAGAGGUGGAGCAGGUGGCUCAACCAUGGCUGCCAGCAGCCGGCACAGCCCACUCAGAGGAACGGCUCUGUCUUUGCAGCAAGAAAGAGAAUGUAUGGAUUGUGACCCUCCACCAGGGAGAAGAAUGAACUCAUUUUCACUCAGAUCCCUAGAUGUGCUGAGACCAAGCCCUCUGGCUCACAAACACUGCUCCCUUCUGGCCACAGAAGGAUUCUUCCAUGUGCCAAGUGCUGCAAUGGGCACUUGGGGUACGACUGCAGAGAGAGACCUGGCCUUGCCCUCCUACGGCCUUGCCUACUUGGGACAACCUACACUUGCCCAACAACUGGCUCGAUUGUGUUGGACCUGCCUCUCUGCCUGGGCUAGCUGGAACCCAGGGCAUCAGCUGACGGCUACCACCGCCACACAGCUCUGCGCCCAGCAAGAGCUGUCUCAAUUCAGUCUUUGUCUCCCUCUGGGGAAACCCAAGGGAACAUGCCUACCACUCCUGCUUAAAAAAGAACCUUGUGCAACGCAAAACUCGAGAAAUUGUUGAAGAACAGUUACCAAAAUGCAUCCUUUAAACCUGCUGUGCCUCCAGAAAUACAGGUUGUUGGUAAAAUAGA